Molecule: long non-coding RNA, 2781 nt
Organism: Anguilla rostrata (American eel)
Lineage: Eukaryota; Metazoa; Chordata; Actinopteri; Anguilliformes; Anguillidae
Exons: 2
Source: RefSeq, a predicted model, not a curated record
GACAGACACAGGGAGGGGAACACGUUUUAAAGGCAAAAUGUCAAAAUGAACUUAAAGAAUACGCGCAGUCAGGACGCGAGAGUGAGCUCUGUUGUGUAUUUGGGACGGUGACAGGUGGGCACGCUCAGUGCUGCUAUUGGGCCAGGACACACUAGAACAAUGUGUUACAGGGAUUCAUUUGAUGGAGUGAGUCCUGGCCACAGACGCCACUGGGUACACUGGGGAACUGUCUGUCUUCACCCGACAGUGAUGAGUACAUGCGCCGCAUUGUUCAACAGUUAAUGUAUUGUGAUUUUGAGUAAUCUUCAUGUUUGCACUUAUUUCAUAUGCAUCGACUCUCUUUUCGGUUUUAACCAUCUGAGGUGCUUUGAGGUGAGCUCAAUUUUUUAAAUAAAAAAACAAACAUUUUCAGGAAGUUUAUAAAGUUUACCUUUAUGAUCCCAUUGUGUACUUAAUACUCAAUCAUCUGAAUCCCUACGAAAAGGUUGAGAUAUAUAACAUAAUAUUGACAUAAUUAUGAUAAUGCAAAUACAUUAGAAAAAUGUAUGCUUAUUAAUCGUGCAAAAUACACAGGUCAGGACAGUCAAUAGGACAAAGUAAAAAAGAGAGUUUUUAGUCUCCUCUACUUGUAUGCUAAUUCAACUGCACCAUGUUUUAAACCCUUAAUAUUAUAUUUAUCUUAUGAAAUAAAAUACAAAAAAUAACUGUUUAAGUGUUCUCUGCUGCAAUAACUCUCUGCUCACUGGUUCCAUCUUCUGGUCAACCAGGGGAAUUACAUACCAACCGACAGGUGAAACCUAGUACAUCUGAAGACGGUCGGCCAAUACCACCUCCAUAUUUCACAGAUGAUGCGGAGGUGCUUUUGAGCAUGGGUUGUUCUUUCCUUUCUACACACUUUCAGCUUUUUGUCAUUUCGGUAAAGGUUUAUUUUGGUCUCAUCUGUCCACACAACUUCCAGAGCUCUUCCGGUUCAUAUCAGUCUGCUUUGGUGAAUUCUAAACUGGCCUUCAGAGUCUUCCUGCUGGUGAGAGGUGGUGGAACUCAAAUGGUGACUAACGGUAUUUUCACCCCUGUCCCCUGGAGACUGCUGGUCACUUAUCAUUGUUUUAGGGUUUCUCUUCACAGUUCUUAGGAUUUCUUCAGUCAUCAACUGCAGUUGUUUUCCUUGGCGGACCAAUUUGGUUAAUUAGUGGAUUGAGUAACCAAGGGGGCAAUUAGUUUUUCACAUUGGUGAUAUGGGUGUUCGAUAACUUUAAAAUGUUUAAUAACUUUAAUAACUUGAUAACCUUAAUGAACUUUUAUUUUAUUUUUUUUGUUCUGUGUUUAUUCAACUUUCCUUUGUUAGGAAUGGCAUUUUGUCUAAAGAUAUGAAUCUGUUCAAUGUGACAAAUAAGCAAUAAUAUAGGAAAUCAGAAGGAGCAAAUACUUUUUCACAGCACUGUAGGUUUCUAUGUUGAACAGUGGCCCUAGGCUGGCGGUCCUGGAUAUUCAAAGAAAAUCCUUCUCAUGAACAGUUCCUUCUUCUGUUACGACUGUGAGGUGGGGGCUAUAAGGUUGCAGGUUAAAGUCCCGGAGGAACACUUCUAUUGUGCUCUCGAACAAGGCCUCUACCGCCCAAAGGGGGUUUCAUACUCAACUGCCAUGUCAUGAAAAGAUAUCAUUCAGACAUUCAGAUCAAGGGAUAAGAUUUCACAGCGUUGGGACAAGUUAGCAGAUUUUUUUAAACAUUUAGAAAAAAAUACUAAAGAAAAUGAAUUUUUUCCUAUUUCAUUUUAAUAUAAAGGAUAGCAUGCACUGACACACAGUAAAUGUUAGUAAGUCAGGGACAACCGGUAGCUCUGGAAAAAAAGACGGUGCAGAUGGAAAAGCAGAGGAUUAUGGGAUACCAAGUCAAUAAGGUUUGAAUUUCCUCUGUGCUCUCAGCACUGCAAUCCUCUGUUUAUCUUCCUCAAACUUUUUCCUAAGCUCAGCAAUGUCUGAAAAGGAGAAUGACAAAGUAUUAAUACCGCAUACACCCUUACAUACCUUCGGCUUACUGAAAAAGUGACAUAUGCAGGUAUAGUAUAUGCAGUAUACAGUAUGCAGUCUGCACCUUAACAUUAAACUUUUUUUUUUUUUUUCAAUAUUUGUUGCAGGAGAAAAGUUCAUAAAAGUAAAUUAUUUCAUGCCCUUAGUCUCAUUUCUUACAUCAUCUGCAAACUGCAACUGAUGGGGUGUUACUCCACCAUCUAUAUGUCAGUUUCACAUGAAAGUUACAACUAUACUGGUAACUCACGCUCUCUUUGUGUGUUUCGGUGCUGCCAGGUGUAGAAGUUAAGCAGCUCCUUCCUCUUCUUCUUCCUGCUUUCCCUCUGCAGAGCUUUCUGGUUGGCUGCCUCGCUGUGAGGGCGGGCCUUGCUCCCUCGCGCGCCCCUUGUGACCUUCACCCAACCCUCCUCGUCCUCCUCCUGCUGCUUCUCUGCUUCUUUCUUCUUUUGUUCUGACUCCUGGUCCAAAGACAGUGGUCAACACAUUAAACGAGUGGUGUGUAUAACCAUCUACAUUGAAGUUCAACUUCACAGCCAUAUUCGUGCCAUUUAUUUGCAUACAGUUGUAACUUUCAAAGCCCAUUUGAACGGAAGAAUUUUCAGUGGAGCAACUGAGUAUACACACAUACACACACGAAAGACAGGGAAAAGAAAAUUGCGCAUAAAUAUGUGAAUGCUCAACCGCAGAAAAUCCAGGGCUGAAAAUUAUAGAAAAUUAUAGAGGCGGAAAGACAAAAUAAAAGGCUGACCUCUU